This is a long non-coding RNA of Solanum tuberosum (potato), 531 nucleotides long. RefSeq lists it as uncharacterized. The transcript is spliced from 3 exons. The record is from RefSeq and is a predicted model, not a curated record. NCBI's taxonomy places the organism in Eukaryota, Viridiplantae, Streptophyta, Magnoliopsida, Solanales, Solanaceae.
AAAUAAAAUGCAUCAAAGACAAAUGGACAAAAACUCAUCCAUCAGUAGUAAAAAAGGAAACUUCAAGAAGCCUUCCAUCACUUCAGCUUCCCCCUUCAUUAUCGAUCGAAACUCCAAGAAUGUCGAUUCGAUCCGAUGAAUGGAGACACAAUCCAAGCACUUCCCCUGAUGGAUGACCUUCAAGUUCAGAAUCCAACAAGCUUGCAGAUUCACAAGAAGCUAAUACUUUGAUUUGGCUCUCACCAGGUAGUGAAAAAGAGAGAAUAAAGCUAGACACCGAAACAAAGGUGAAUUGGAUGACCACUUCUUUAUAAACUACUCAUGUUCUUUAGUUCUUUUCUCCCAACCUUACAUUCUUUUCAUCUUAUUGAUGCAUGAUUCCAUCAGGCAAAUUAUGUCAUUUAAUCUCUCUUUCUUGGGUGUGCAAUUGAUGUAUCUUAUUUAAUUUGUUGGUAAUCGACAUACCAAACUUCAAUUUAUACUUUGGAGUUAAUCUAGCAUUGAUCAAAUUAUGUUUUUUGUUCCUGCUUA